AGCAAUUUUUGUACUGUGAAACUGCGAAUGGCUCAUUAAAUCAGUUAUCGUUUAUUUGAUUGUAACUUUACUACUUGGAUAACCGUGGUAAUUCUAGAGCUAAUACAUGCUGAAAAUCCCGACUUUUGAAGGGAUGUAUUUAUUAGAUAAAAAACCAAUGUCCUUUUGGACUCUUUGGUGAUUCAUGAUAACUUCGCGAAUCGCGUGGCCUUGCGCCGGCGAUGUUUCAUUCAAAUUUCUGCCCUAUCAACUUACGACGGUAGGAUAGAGGCCUACCGUGGUGUCAACGGGUAACGGGGAAUUAGGGUUCUAUUCCGGAGAGGGAGCCUGAGAAACGGCUACCACAUCCAAGGAAGGCAGCAGGCGCGCAAAUUACCCAAUCCCAACUCGGGGAGGUAGUGACAAUAAAUACUGAUGCAGGGCCUUUCUGGGUCUUGUAAUUGGAAUGAGUACAAUUUAAAUCCAUUAACGAGGAACAAUUGGAGGGCAAGUCUGGUGCCAGCAGCCGCGGUAAUUCCAGCUCCAAUAGCGUAUAUUAAAGUUGUUGCAGUUAAAAAGCUCGUAGUUGAAGCUUGGGUCUGGGCAAUCGGUCCGCCUCACCGCGUGUACUGGGAGCCUGGACCUUUCCUUCUGGCGAACCUCAUGCUCUUAAUUGGGUGUGUUGGCAAACCAGGACUUUUACUUUGAAAAAAUUAGAGUGUUCAAAGCAGGCAUUUGCUCGAAUACAUUAGCAUGGAAUAAUAGAAUAGGACGUGUUGUUUUAUUUUGUUGGUUUUUAGGACAGCCGUAAUGAUUAAUAGGGAUAGUCGGGGGCAUCCGUAUUCAAUUGUCAGAGGUGAAAUUCUUGGAUUUAUUGAAGACGAACUACUGCGAAAGCAUUUGCCAAGGAUGUUUUCAUUAAUCAGGAACGAAAGUUGAGGGAUCGAAGACGAUCAGAUACCGUCGUAGUCUCAACCAUAAACUAUGCCGACUAGGGGUCGGGCGAUGUUUUAUUAUGACUCGCUCGGAACCUUAGGAGAAAUCAAAGUCUUUGGGUUCUGGGGGAG
This 1046-nucleotide ribosomal RNA is filed under the name Acervus rufus. RNAcentral describes it as "SSU rRNA". It matches the Rfam family "Eukaryotic small subunit ribosomal RNA", at positions 68 to 1123 of the family's 1831-position model. The record is from RNAcentral. Lineage: Eukaryota; Fungi; Ascomycota; Pezizomycetes; Pezizales; Pyronemataceae.